UCCGGAAUCAUUGGGUUUAAAGGGUCCGUAGGCGGCUUAAUAAGUCAGCGGUGAAAGUUUUUGGCUUAACCAAAAAAUUGCCAUUGAUACUGUCAAUCUUGAAUAUGUUUGAUGUGGGCGGAAUAUGACAUGUAGCGGUGAAAUGCUUAGAUAUGUCAUAGAACACCGAUUGCGAAGGCAGCUCACAAAGCCAUUAUUGACGCUGAGGCACGAAAGCGUGGGGAUCAAAC
This 230-nucleotide ribosomal RNA is filed under the name uncultured bacterium. RNAcentral describes it as "partial 16S ribosomal RNA". It matches the Rfam family "Bacterial small subunit ribosomal RNA", at positions 544 to 773 of the family's 1533-position model. The record is from RNAcentral.